This 331-nucleotide unclassified non-coding RNA is filed under the name Hevea brasiliensis (rubber tree). Lineage: Eukaryota; Viridiplantae; Streptophyta; Magnoliopsida; Malpighiales; Euphorbiaceae. The record is from RNAcentral.
GCAGCGGCUACUGCGAUCGCGUGCUUGUUAGGAUCCUCCUCGUACUCCGACGAACACUGAACCAUUACGGAAGUCUCCUGAUCAUCCGAAACUCCACGUUUUAUGUGCUGCUGCUGCUGCGGGUGGUCUUUCUCACGGUAUGAUUUCACAAAGUUCCAUCUUCGUUUCUCCUUCAAGCGACCCAUGGUUUGAUGCUGCUGUUGUGAUUGAGGCGGGUGGUCGGUUUUUUUAAGGCCGAGAAUUGCCCGGAACCACUUGGAGGCUUUACCCAUUUGGCUUGGGUCAGCAAUAGUGAAACUGCAGGGGCUUGGAGGCGUUUGAGAUAGGAUGC